CCUACGGGUGGCAGCAGUGAGGAAUAUUGGUCAAUGGACGAGAGUCUGAACCAGCCACGUAGCGUGAAGGAUGACUGCCCUAUGGGUUGUAAACUUCUUUUAUAUGGGAAUAAAACAGGGUAUGCAUACCCUCUUGUAUGUACCAUAUGAAUACGGAUCGGCUAACUCCGUGCCAGCAGCCGCGGUAAUACGGAGGAUCCGAGCGUUGUCCGGAUUUAUUGGGUUUAAAGGGAGCGUAGGUGGAUUGUUAAGUCAGUUGUGAAAGUUUGCGGUUCAACCGUAAAAUUGCAGUUGAAACUGGCAGGCUUGAGUACAGUAGAGGUGGGCGGAAUUCGUGGUGUAGCGGUGAAAUGCGUAGAUAUCACGAAGAACUCCGAUUGCGAAGGCAGCUCACUGGACUGCAACUGACACUGAUGCGCGAAAGUGUGGGGAUCAAACAGGAUUAGAUACCCUGGUAGUC
This 460-nucleotide ribosomal RNA is filed under the name uncultured bacterium. RNAcentral's name for it is "partial 16S ribosomal RNA". It matches the Rfam family "Bacterial small subunit ribosomal RNA", at positions 338 to 795 of the family's 1533-position model. The record is from RNAcentral.